This 499-nucleotide ribosomal RNA is filed under the name uncultured bacterium. RNAcentral describes it as "bacterial SSU rRNA". It matches the Rfam family "Bacterial small subunit ribosomal RNA", at positions 24 to 559 of the family's 1533-position model. The record is from RNAcentral.
UCUGAACGAACGCUGGCGGCAGGCUUAACACAUGCAAGUCGAACGAGAAAUUAUCUUCGGAUAAUGGACAGUGGCAGACGGGUGAGUAACGCGUAGCAACCUACCUAGUAGUACGGAAUAGCCCUUGGAAACGAGGUGUAAUACCGUAUACGCCCUUCGGGGGAAAGAUUUAUCGCUAUUAGAUGGGGCUGCGUUGGAUUAGCUAGUUGGUGAGGUAAGAGCUCACCAAGGCAACGAUCUAUAGCGGGUCUGAGAGGAUGAUCCGCCACACUGGGACUGAGACACGGCCCAGACUCCUACGGGAGGCAGCAGUGGGGAAUCUUGGACAAUGGGGGAAACCCUGAUCCAGCCAUGCCGCGUGAAUGAUGAAGGCCUUAGGGUUGUAAAAUUCUUUCCAUAGGGAAGAUAAUGACGGUACCUAUUAAAGAAGCCCCGGCUAACUCCGUGCCAGCAGCCGCGGUAAUACGGAGGGGGCUAGCGUUGUUCGGAAUUACUGGGC